GGACGAACGCUGGCGGCGUGCCUAGUACAUGCAAGUCGAGCGGGGUUAUUACCACAGAAACCUUCGGGUUGAAGAGGUUCUAACCUAGCGGCGGACGGGUGAGUAACGCGUGGGUAACCUGCCCUAAAGUUCGGGAUAACACUGGGAAACCAAUGCUAAUACCGGAUGACUUUUAGUUGAGGCAUCUUAAUUAAAAGAAAGUUUUUAACGCUUUAGGAUGGACCCGCGUCCCAUUAGCUAGUUGGUGAGGUAACGGCUCACCAAGGCAGCGAUGGGUAGCCGGCCUGAGAGGGUGACCGGCCACACUGGAACUGAGACACGGUCCAGACUCCUACGGGAGGCAGCAGUGGGGAAUAUUGCACAAUGGAGGAAACUCUGAUGCAGCGACGCCGCGUGAGUGAAGAAGGCUUUCGAGUCGUAAAACUCUGUCCUUGGGGACGAUAAUGACGGUACCCAAGGAGGAAGCCCCGGCUAACUACGUGCCAGCAGCCGCGGUAAUACGUAGGGGGCGAGCGUUGUCCGGAAUUAUUGGGCGUAAAGGGUGCGUAGGCGGUCUUUUAAGUCAGAUGUGAAAGACCACAGCUUAACUGUGGGGUUGCAUUUGAAACUGGAAGGCUUGAGUAUCGGAGAGGGUAGUGGAAUUCCCGGUGUAGCGGUGAAAUGCGUAGAUAUCGGGAGGAAUACCAGUGGCGAAGGCGCCUACCUGGACGAAAACUGACGCUGAGGCACGAAAGCUGGGGCAGCAAACAGGAUUAGAUACCCUGGUAGUCCUAGCUAUAAACGAUGGGUACUAGGUGUAGGGGUUUCGAUACCCCUGUGUCGGAGUUAACGCAAUAAGUACCCCGCCUGGGGAGUACGGUCGCAAGACUA
This 870-nucleotide ribosomal RNA is filed under the name uncultured Clostridia bacterium. RNAcentral's name for it is "bacterial SSU rRNA". It matches the Rfam family "Bacterial small subunit ribosomal RNA", at positions 27 to 896 of the family's 1533-position model. Lineage: Bacteria; Bacillati; Bacillota; Clostridia. The record is from RNAcentral.